Long non-coding RNA from Melanotaenia boesemani (Boeseman's rainbowfish), 651 nucleotides. RefSeq lists it as uncharacterized. The record is from RefSeq and is a predicted model, not a curated record. NCBI's taxonomy places the organism in Eukaryota, Metazoa, Chordata, Actinopteri, Atheriniformes, Melanotaeniidae. The transcript is spliced from 2 exons.
CCUCCAGAACUCACCCACAUCUCUCCCCCAGACAAUCACACUGUCAUGAUUCUUCUAGUGAGGUUCGGCCUUCCCAGCUGCCCUGAACGCACCCUCCUUCCACACUCUCUGAUUAAUGAUGCGCUUCACCUGCGCGGUGCUCUUUAAAUACCUGUUUGUGACAACUUCUCUCCACCAGAUUGUCUUGGUUCUUCCCUGCACGUAUCCAGCCUUUGUUCUUCUGUCUGCCUGCCUGCCAUUGACCUUGUUAUUCUGACCUGGAUUUUCGUCUCUGCCUGCCCCCUGACUGGUAACUCUGUCUUGUUUGUUUAUUGGAUUCCUGGAUUACUGACCUCUGGACUGAUCUCUGGAUUUGGAUUCUGGAUAACGGACUUUACUUCUCUGCCCCGACGGAGAAACUCGGAAGCACCCGCCUCUGCCUUCCACCAUUCGGAUUCCCUGGUCUCCGCCAGUGAUAUCUUCUCUAACCUUCUCUCUAUUCAGCAGUUGUCAACCCCAUCCAGCGGAAUCCCUCCAGGUUUCUCCGGUCCUGCCCAGUUCUCACUCACCAACUUACACUGGAUGCACAACAGCACCUGAGGAGCUGACCGAGAGUGACCGAAUUUCACGUCUUUUCAUGUUCACAUUGUUCAAUAAAACUACUAUACCUAU